Podarcis lilfordi (Lilford's wall lizard) is the source of this 68-nucleotide non-coding RNA. NCBI's taxonomy places the organism in Eukaryota, Metazoa, Chordata, Lepidosauria, Squamata, Lacertidae. The record is from the annotation of a GenBank genome assembly.
GACAGCUCAGUUGGUAGAGCAUGAGACUCUUAAUUCCAGGAUCGUAGGAUAGAACCCCAUGUUGAACA